UACGGGGGGAGCAAGCGUUGUUCGGAUUUACUGGGCGUAAAGGGCGCGUAGGCGGCCACCGCAAGUCGACUGUGAAAUCUCCGGGCUUAACCCGGAAAGGUCAGCCGAUACUGCGGGGCUAGAGUGCAGAAGGGGCAACUGGAAUUCUCGGUGUAGCGGUGAAAUGCGUAGAUAUCGAGAGGAACACCUGCGGCGAAGGCGGGUUGCUGGGCUGACACUGACGCUGAGGCGCGAAAGCUAGGGGAGCGAACAGG
RNAcentral lists this ribosomal RNA (254 nucleotides) under uncultured bacterium. Its description in RNAcentral is "partial 16S ribosomal RNA". It matches the Rfam family "Bacterial small subunit ribosomal RNA", at positions 524 to 776 of the family's 1533-position model. The record is from RNAcentral.